AGUGAACGCUGGCGGUAGGCCUAACACAUGCAAGUCGAACGGCAGCACAGUAAGAGCUUGCUCUUACGGGUGGCGAGUGGCGGACGGGUGAGGAAUACAUCGGAAUCUACUUUUUCGUGGGGGAUAACGUAGGGAAACUUACGCUAAUACCGCAUACGACCUACGGGUGAAAGCAGGGGAUCUUCGGACCUUGCGCUCUUGGAGGGCUCGGUGUCGGAUGAGCUAGUGGGAGGGGUAAAGGCCCACCAAGGCGAUGAUCCGUAGCCGGUCUGAGAGGGUGAACGGCCACAAGGGGAGUGAGACACGGCCCUUACUCCUACGGGAGGCAGAAGUGGGGAAUAUUGGACAAGGGACCAAGAGUCUGAGCAAGCAAUUCUGUGUGCACGAUGAAGUUUUUCGGAAUGUAAAGUGAUUUCAGUUGGGAAGAAAAAAAUGACGGUACCAACAGAAGAAGUGACGGCUAAAUACGUG
This 471-nucleotide ribosomal RNA is filed under the name uncultured bacterium. RNAcentral describes it as "partial 16S ribosomal RNA". It matches the Rfam family "Bacterial small subunit ribosomal RNA", at positions 29 to 507 of the family's 1533-position model. The record is from RNAcentral.